Molecule: ribosomal RNA, 115 nt
Filed under: Jaculus jaculus (lesser Egyptian jerboa)
Lineage: Eukaryota; Metazoa; Chordata; Mammalia; Rodentia; Dipodidae
Source: RNAcentral
GUCUACAGCCAUCCACCCUGAAUGUGCCCCAUCCCUUCUCAUCUGGGAAGCUAAGCAGAGUCGGGCCUAGCUAGUACUUGGAUGGGAGAAAGUAUGGAGGCUGGAGCUGAAGAGA